ACUCAGGACGUGGCACGAUGUUCGAGGCACGGCGUGCGUGGAUCAAGUGGCGAGUUCUUGGCAUACGUCUCAACAUUUUACAAUAAUUGCACAACUUAGAAGCCCUUUAACGAUCGGACGUUUUCUUCGUAUCUCGUUCUUAGCCAGUUUCCUGACCCAGACGAGAACGUCUCCUCCUCUCCACCUCCUGUCUAAGCGUCAUCUUCACAUUCUCUCUCUGUCUCUCUCUUUCGCUCGUUCAGAGUCGCACACUGGCACUUGCCGUUUCGACGAAUGGUCGAUCGCUGUGGGACGACGCACCGAGUACGUGUCGAACGAUCUUAAAUUAAUCGAACUUACAUAUCCCCCCUUCUUGUCAGUAUCACGUUUCAUUAUUGCUUAUCCGCGAAUCCAUCCACUGAUUCAACGAUUCUUCCUUCUUUUCCGGACGACGCGCUUCAUCGAGGGACGUCCUUUAGCCGACUGCGGGACAUUUGGACGAGCGCUUUCGCUUAAGGAAAUCCCAGCGGGAGUUUGGGUAAUUCAGCAGCUUGGCUGUGAUACAGACGACCGAAUUACGGCAACGAGUAGCAAUUUGGCUUAGGUUGGUCGACGUUGGAGGACGUUGAAACACGCGCGUAAUCUACGAACCAACUGGAUCGUCAGCUAGUCCAGACUGGUGCCUUUUUCACGUGAUAAUGUGCCCUGGUCGGUUCAAAAAUUAGGCGAAAG
RNAcentral lists this unclassified non-coding RNA (711 nucleotides) under Bombus terrestris (buff-tailed bumblebee). RNAcentral describes it as "misc RNA ENSBTSG00005039220.1". Lineage: Eukaryota; Metazoa; Arthropoda; Insecta; Hymenoptera; Apidae. The record is from RNAcentral.